Molecule: ribosomal RNA, 468 nt
Filed under: uncultured bacterium
Lineage: Bacteria
Description: partial 16S ribosomal RNA
Rfam family: Bacterial small subunit ribosomal RNA
Source: RNAcentral
GACGAACGCUGGCGGCGUGCUUAACACAUGCAAGUCGAACGGAAAGGCCCUGCUUUUGUGGGGUGCUCGAGUGGCGAACGGGUGAGUAACACGUGAGUAACCUGCCCUUGACUUUGGGAUAACUUCAGGAAACUGGGGCUAAUAUCGGAUAGGAGCUCCUGCUGCAUGGUGGGGGUUGGAAAGUUUCGGCGGUUGGGGAUGGACUCGCGGCUUAUCAGCUUGUUGGUGGGGUAGUGGCUUACCAAGGCUUUGACGGGUCGCCGGCCUGAGAGGGUGACCGGCCACAUUGGGACUGAGGUGCGGCCCAGACGCCUACGGGGGGCAGCAGUGGGGAAUAUUGCACAAGGGGCGGAAGCCUGAUGCAGCAACGCCGCGGGGGGGAUGACGGCUUUGGGGUUGAAAACCGCUUUCGCCUGUAACGAAGCGUGAGUGACGGUAAUGAGUAAAGAAGCACCGGCUAACUACGUG